GAUGAAGAACGCAGCGAAAUGCGAUAAGUAAUGUGAAUUGCAGAAUUCAGUGAAUCAUCGAAUCUUUGAACGCACAUUGCGCCCGCCAGUAUUCUGGCGGGCAUGCCUGUUCGAGCGUCAUUUCAACCCUCAAGACCCCUUCGGGGGACUUGGUGUUGGGGACCGGCACAGGGGCCUGCCUGCUUGUCUUGCAGCGCCCUCGCCGCCCCCGAAAUGAAUUGGCGGCCUCGUCGCGGCCUCCCCUGCGUAGUAGCACAAACCUCGCAACGGGAACGUGACGGCGGCCACUGCCGUAAAACAACCCAAUUUUAUUAGGGUUGACCUCGAAUCAGGUAGGAAUACCCGCUGAACUUAAGCAUAUCAAUAAGCGGAGGA
This 375-nucleotide unclassified non-coding RNA is filed under the name soil metagenome. RNAcentral describes it as "partial contains 5.8S ribosomal RNA, internal transcribed spacer 2, and large subunit ribosomal RNA". The stretch from base 1 to 120 matches the Rfam family "5.8S ribosomal RNA", at positions 35 to 154 of the family's 154-position model. The record is from RNAcentral.